This 431-nucleotide ribosomal RNA is filed under the name uncultured bacterium. Its description in RNAcentral is "partial 16S ribosomal RNA". It matches the Rfam family "Bacterial small subunit ribosomal RNA", at positions 29 to 507 of the family's 1533-position model. The record is from RNAcentral.
AACGAACGCUGGCGGCAGGCUUAACACAUGCAAGUCGAGCGCCCCGCAAGGGGAGCGGCAGACGGGUGAGUACCGCGUGGGAACGUACCUUUUGGUUCGGAACAACUCCGGGAAACUGGAGCUAAUACCGGAUAAGCCCUAACGGGGAAAGAUUUAUCGCCGAAAGAUCGGCCCGCGUCUGAUUAGUUAGUUGGUGAGGUAACGGCUCACCAAGGCGACGAUCAGUAGCUGGUCUGAGAGGAUGAUCAGCCACACUGGGACUGAGACACGGCCCAGACUCCUACGGGAGGCAGCAGUGGGGAAUAUUGGACAAUGGGCGCAAGCCUGAUCCAGCCAUGCCGCGUGAGUGAUGAAGGCCUUAGGGUUGUAAAGCUCUUUUGUCCGGGAAGAUAAUGACUGUACCGGAAGAAUAAGCCCCGGCUAACUUCGUG